AGAAAAGUAGGUGCCGCCCCGCACAGGGGCGACGCAUGAAGCACGUAUACGAAAUCGCGGAUGCCAGCAAAGGCGAAAGCAAAAAGCAAAAAGCAAAAGCUAAUUCCCCACCCCUGGGGAAACAG
This 125-nucleotide small RNA is filed under the name Paraburkholderia sabiae. Its description in RNAcentral is "Bp1_684". It matches the Rfam family "Burkholderia sRNA Bp1_Cand684_SIPHT". The record is from RNAcentral. Lineage: Bacteria; Pseudomonadati; Pseudomonadota; Betaproteobacteria; Burkholderiales; Burkholderiaceae.